RNAcentral lists this ribosomal RNA (460 nucleotides) under uncultured bacterium. Its description in RNAcentral is "partial 16S ribosomal RNA". It matches the Rfam family "Bacterial small subunit ribosomal RNA", at positions 338 to 795 of the family's 1533-position model. The record is from RNAcentral.
CCUACGGGAGGCAGCAGUGAGGAAUAUUGGUCAAUGGACGCAAGUCUGAACCAGCCAUGCCGCGUGCAGGAAGACGGCCCUAUGCGUUGUAAACUGCUUUUGUACGAGAGUAAACGCAGGUACGUGUAUCUGUCUGAAAGUAUCGUACGAAUAAGGAUCGGCUAACUCCGUGCCAGCAGCCGCGGUAAUACGGAGGAUUCGAGCGUUAUCCGGAUUUAUUGGGUUUAAAGGGUGCGUAGGCGGGCGGCUAAGUUAGGGGUGAAAUCCCGAGGCUCAACCUCGGAAUUGCCUCUGAUACUGUGCGGCUAGAGAGCAGUUGCGGUAGGCGGAAUGCAUGGUGUAGCGGUGAAAUGCUUAGAUAUCAGACAGAACACCGAUUGCGAAGGCAGCUUACCAAGCUACUACUGACGUUGAGGCACGAAAGCGUGGGGAGCAAACAGGAUUAGAUACCCUUGUAGUC